Molecule: ribosomal RNA, 77 nt
Filed under: Gorilla gorilla gorilla (western lowland gorilla)
Lineage: Eukaryota; Metazoa; Chordata; Mammalia; Primates; Hominidae
Source: RNAcentral
CUCUACGGCCAUACCACACUGAAUCCACCCCAUCUCGUCUGAUCUUGGAAGCUAAGGCCAAUGGGAAACUGCAGCCU